Molecule: non-coding RNA, 254 nt
Organism: Cinara cedri
Lineage: Eukaryota; Metazoa; Arthropoda; Insecta; Hemiptera; Aphididae
Source: the annotation of a GenBank genome assembly
GUCCUGUUUCUCUGUGAGAGGAAAUCAGAAUACUUCCACGGUACCUCUACUUGCCGUAUAGUGGCUGCGCCAGGUCGAACACCUAUGUAAAAUUCUGCUAAAUAGUAUGAGGAAUUUUAAACAAAACUUGGGCGGAUUGUCCCAUCUUGGAUGUAUGCAGGGACAACAAGGGAGAGAUAGUUCAUGAUGUAGCUUAGAUUGAAGAAAAUAUGGAAAAAGUUAACAAUAGGCUUGUGGAAUGAAGAGACUCUAGA